GAUGAACGCUGGCGGCGUGCCUAAUACAUGCAAGUCGAGCGGUAAGGCCACUUCGGUGGUACACGAGCGGCGGACGGCUGAGUAACACGUAGGAACGUACCCCAAACUGAGGCAUAAGCACCAGAAAUGGUGUCUAAUACCGCAUGUGCUCUUCGGAGUAAAGCUACGGCGGUUUGGGAACGGCCUGCGCAUGAUUAGCUUGUUGGUGAGGUAAUAGCUCACCAAGGCGACGAUCAUUAGCUGGUCUGAGAGGAUGAUCAGCCAGACUGGGACUGAGAACGGCCCAGACUCCUACGGGAGGCAGCAGUAGGGAAUUUUCCACAAUGGGCGAAAGCCUGAUGGAGCAACGCCGCGUGCAGGAU
This 362-nucleotide ribosomal RNA is filed under the name uncultured bacterium. RNAcentral's name for it is "bacterial SSU rRNA". It matches the Rfam family "Bacterial small subunit ribosomal RNA", at positions 28 to 409 of the family's 1533-position model. The record is from RNAcentral.